AGACCAUUCUGUGAACAGAUCAAGCUUCCUGAUUUUUCUUUGAGAGUUUGAGAACAUGGGCUGCUCUGGUUCAGUUGUCCCUUGAGGAGCGUAGCCCAGAUCAGGAGGCUUACGAGGGUGUUGCUCCAUUUCAACUCUCCAGCCACAAUCUUUAUCAUGAUCACAUCAGGAAUAAUCUCUACACAGCCAAACCAGAAGCCAGUUCUCAGUCUUCAUGCUAAUUAGCACCUCAGGGGGUGAAAACUGCAAAGCUUCAAUGUGACAUACCCACUUUUUUCUCACUGGAUUUUCAUACCUCACAUAACCAGGACACACAGGUUUCUCAAAAUGUGCGAGCAACACCAAGGUAAGCUUUGACAAGCUGACAGUACAAUCUCACGUCUCUUUCAUCCUUGCCCAAUCCUGUAGGCAUCCUACACUGAUUAAGUCUCAGCAGCCCAGUCACUUGUUUGCACGCGGGGGCGUUUUAUGAGACUUGGCCUUGGCACUUUACCUCUAUUUCUGGACGAGAGAGGAGUUGAGAGAAGGAAAAGCUGUAAAGCAAACAAACAAACAAAUCUGGCUCUUUCCUGAGGCCACCGCGAAGGGGCGGUUCGGCUCCUAGCCCGUCAGGACGUGCCCCGCCCCAACUCUCGUCCUCACCUCCCGGCAAGACCGCCACCGGAAGAGGGCGUGGCCUCCGUCGUGGGCGUGGCGCACAGCUGCGAGAGGCUGGACUGUGCAUUAGCGGGGGCGUGGCUAGAAAGGGGGCAGGGCGGGGUCUUAGAGUAGGCGGGACCGGGCCGGGCGGGCGCUCGGCGCCUACCCGGCUUGCCGGAGCCACUCGCGCUCCUGCGCCCCGCCAGGCCGGGUUCACGUGAAGCGCCGGCCCUCCGCCCCUCCCUCCCUUCCUUCCCUCCCCCCCUCCCUGUCCCCUCCUCCUGCGGCGCCCGCUCUGGCUCCCCCGGGCCCCCUGCCCGGCUGGGCGCUGACAGCAGCGGCGGGGGUCCCCGCAGCCGCCGCUGUGUCCCGCGCAGGCUCGGGCUGGGCCCGCGGAGCCCCCGGCGCGGCCAUGAACCGACCCCUGUCGGCGGAGGCGGAGGAGGAACUGGAGUGGCAAGUGGCGAGUCGCAGGAGGAAGGCCUGGGCCAAGUGCCGCAGCUCCUGGCAGGCGUCGGAGACCGAGGAUCUGUCCACAGAGACGACGACGCAGGACGAGGACGAGGACGACGAGGAGGACCUCCCAGGCACGAAGCUGCCGGCACCCGCGGGGCGAGGAAACGUGCCCAACGAGAAGAUCGCGAUAUGGCUCAAAGACUGCCGCACCCCUCUGGGAGCCUCACUGGAUGAGCAAAGCAGUGGUACGCCGAAGGGUGUGCUUGUGAGAAAUGGAGGAAGCUUUGAAGAUGACCUGUCACUGGGAGCUGAAGCCAAUCACCUACAUGAACCUGAUGCUCAAGUUGAAAACUGCAACAAUAUCUUGGCCAAGGAGAGAAGACUACAGUUUCAUCAGAAAGGGAGAAGUAUGAAUUCCACUGGGUCUGGGAAAAGCAGUGGUACCGUGUCAAGUGUCUCAGAACUGCUGGAGCUUUACGAGGAAGAUCCUGAAGAAAUUCUAUAUAAUCUUGGAUUUGGACGAGAUGAACCAGAUAUUGCUUCUAAAAUUCCUUCCAGAUUUUUUAAUUCAUCAUCCUUUGCCAGAGGCAUAGACAUUAAAGUAUUUCUGAGUGCACAGAUGCAACGGAUGGAAGUAGAGAACCCAAACUAUGCUCUGACAAGCCGAUUUCGCCAAAUUGAAGUCCUGACUACUGUGGCCAAUGCAUUUUCUUCUCUAUAUUCCCAAGUCUCUGGAACUCCACUGCAGAGGAUUGGAAGUAUGUCCUCGGUGACCUCCACCAAGGAGGUGGCAGACUCCCCGCCCCCUCUAACUCGAAGCAACACUGCAAACCGUCUGAUGAAAACACUAUCAAAACUGAACUUAUGUGUUGAUAAAACAGAGAAAGGAGAAGGGGGCUCUUCCCCCGCCACUGAGAAAGGAAGGACUCUAAGCAUCUCACUGUCUGAAGAUGGCGGCGGCGGCAAGAGUGACCCUAAGCUUCAGAAAGUUGUAAAGAAGAAGGAGUCGUCUUCGAUGCUGGCUACGGUUACAGAAGAAGUCUCAGGUAGUUCAUCAACCGUCACAGACAGCGUUGAUGCAGACAGACUUUCCGAGGAAGCAGACAGUACCAUUAGCCACCAGGAGGAAAGUGAAGAAAGCAGAGAGGCUCACAGUCAGGAGAAGGACCCGCUCCGCAAGUCUGCUGUGACAGAUCCUGACUUGGGUCAUGAUGGCCGCGUGUCCAGCCACUGCGAGCUGGAGAGCAGCAGUGAGCUGAAAAGUGCCCAGGCGUCUUCGAGCGAGAAAGAGCCUUGUGCACCCCUGACAAUCCCAUCCAUACGGAACAUAAUGACGCAGCAGAAAGACUCCUUUGAGAUGGAAGAGGUCCAGAGCACAGAGGGAGAAGCCCCUCACGUGCCAGCCACUUGCCAGCUAAGUCUUGCCAAGUCAAAAAGAGAUCAUCUGUUGAGAACUGCAAGUCAGCAUUCCGAUAGCAGCGGCUUUGCUGAGGACUCCACAGACUGUGUCUCCCUCAACCACCUCCUGGUGAACGAGUCCCUGCAAGCCAUGGGGAGCAGUGCUGACAGCUGUGACAGUGAAACCACCGUCACAUCGCUUGGUGAGGACCACGUGACUCCUACAGCGCAAGACCAGCCUUACUUCAAUGAGUCAGAGGAGGAGUCCCUGGCUCCUCUGCAGAAAGGAAGAGCAAAGGUGGAAAUAGUGGCUGAGAAAAGGAAAGCCGACAACCAAGAUUUCCCUCAGUGUGUGACCGCAGAGAAUGCUGGAAACAAUGAGUCCACAAAGGGCCCGUGUGAGCCUGGUCAUCAGAUCACAGAAACAGGGGAGCAUCCACCUCUGGCAGCCACUGGAGAGCUCCCCAGGGAAGAGAGUGUCGAGAGUGAUGUAGAGAAAGGCAGUGAAUGUGAAUUUGCCCAGUACACCACACACCAUAUUCUCAGAUCCUUGGCUUCCUUUGAAGCGCAGGGCAGCGGUAUGAGCUCUGAAAAGAAAACUGGGUUUCCCUCUUCUGUGGACAGAGUGAACACUGCCCUGCAGAGAGCUCAAAUGAAGGUCUGCAGUAUGUCUGGGCAGAGAGUAGGGCGUAGCCUAAUAAAAUCAAAGGAUCUGUUGAAACAAAGGUACUUGCUCGCAAAAGCUGGCUAUCCUCUGAGAAGGUCUCAGUCUUUGCCCACCACUUUACUGAGCCCAGUACGGGUGGUGUCUUCUGUCAAUGUGCGAUUAUCUCCAGGAAAAGAGACCAGGUGCAGCCCACCGUCCUUCACCUACAAGUACACACCCGAAGAGGAACAAGACCUGGAAAAGCAAGGAACUGAACACGAUGGUCAGUCUCUGGUUAAAUCUACCAUCUUCAUCCCGCCACCCUCUGUGAAGAAAGAAGAAGCCCCUCAGAGUGAGGGGACACGACUGGAGGAAUGCCACCAUGGAAGGCUUGCCCCCUGCCCACAGUUCGCUCCAAUAUCCCAGUCCACCUGCUCCCUUCACUCUGUCCACUCUGAGUGGCAGGACAGACCCCUGUGUGAACACAUGAGGACUCUGAGUGCCCACAGUGUCCCCAACAUAUCGGGUGCCGCAUGUAGUGCCUUCUCUCCUUUCGGGUGUCCCUAUUCACACAGACAUGCUGCCCACCCAUACAGGGCAUGCUCUGUGAAUCCUCCUUCUGCCAUUGAGAUGCAGUUGCGGAGAGUGUUGCAUGAUAUUAGAAGCUCACUACAGAAUCUUUCACAGCUCUCCUCUAACUUUCUAAGACUUCUCGUUGACUCCGGUGGCUCCCUGCUCUCCUGAGCUUUGUAGCUCUCUGCCUAAGCUUUCCUGCUCACCUGCUCAUCUCUGAUGCUGGCCUCCUGGCACAGAAUUAGUCUCUUUCCAUGGGCUCAAAGCUGGAACCACUCCAAAGAGAAUCAGUAUCCUAUGACGAGAGGACCUGACCUUGCUGCUGCUCCAUACAGUACUCAGAACUCGUCUGUCCUACCUCUUUAUGAAAAUACCUUCCAGGAGCUUCAAGUCGUGAGGCGGAGCCUGAAUCUGUUCAGAACGCAGAUGAUGGACUUGGAGCUGGCCAUGCUGCGGCAGCAAACCGUGGUGUACCCUCAUAUGACAGAGGAGGACAGGUAUGAAGUUGAUCAGCUGCAGGGUUUGCGGAACUCUGUCCGAAUGGAACUGCAGGACCUGGAGAUGCAGCUGGAGGAGCGCUUGCUGGGCCUGGAUGAGCAGCUCCGUGCAGUGCGGGUGCCAUCACCUUUCCGCCCCUCUGCACUCCCGGGGAUGUGUGGCAGCAGGAGCGUAGAUAACUUAUCAUGCCCGUCUCCACUGAACGUCAUGGAGCCCGUCACAGAGCUAAUUCGGGAGCAAUCAUACCUGAAGUCUGAGCUGGGCCUGGGCCUUGGAGACAUGGCGUAUGAAAUUCCUCCUGGAGAGAGCUCGGAGUCCGUUUUCUCUCAAGCCACAUCAGAGUCAUCUUCCGUCUGCUCCAGCCCCUCCCACACCAACAGAAGAUCUAGAGGGCUACCUGGGAGCAAACCCAGAGCCCGCUUAGUGGCGAGAAAGAAGAUAUUCCGAGCCUCUGUGGCCCUGACACCAACUGCCCCCUCUAGAACAGGCUCUGUGCAAACACCUCCAGAUCUGGAGAGUUCCGAAGAAGCUGGAGGAGCUGAGGAAGCAUCCCCGGUAGUGGGGCUUGCAUCUCACGUGGAGGAAGAGCCAGAGGAUCUCUCACUGAUGCCAGCAGCCGAGGAGAUGCACAGGAAUGUGGAGCAAGAUGAACUGCAGCAAGUCAUCCGAGAGAUUAAAGAGUCUAUUGUUGGGGAAAUUCGACGAGAAAUUGUAAGUGGACUUUUGGCAGCAGUGUCUUCAAGUAAAGCACCUGGUCCUAAGCAGGACAGCCACUGAGCGGACGCCUUCGGGUUGAGAUGGAUCCCAUUAACUAAUAUAGGCAUUGUCAGUGAUUUAUGCUGGUGGAGGUGUUGUUUGUCCUAUGGAAGAUAUUUUCUACUGAGCUGGGCUACUGUACACAAUGGACAGUGUGCAUUUCUGUACAGGUUACGGUUCUAUGCAUAAACAUUUUAGAAAACAAACAUAGAAACUUAGGCACUUUGCUGACUCCUUUCUGAACUAUCAGACUGGCCAUUUGAAAGCCUAGUAUUUAUUUGUAUGUCAAUAUUUGCCCAGUUGAUGUCCUAUGUAGAGUUAAUUGUAAAACUUGAAGAAUUUCAGACAUAACCAACUUAUAAAUGACCUAUUUCUUCAGGCUAGCUUCUACAACACUGACCUCCAUGAGGUAUUUACUGUGCAAUAACAGAUUCGUCUUCUGAGAGCUUGAAGCAACCCAUGAUUUGUCCCUCCACUGCUCUUCACUGGGUUCACUUCCAAGGAGACUAAUGGCUCUAUUGUAAAAAUUGCUCUUAAUUCUUGAAGAGGCUACUGAGAAGCAGUGGGGUAGAUCUCAUGAGGUUACCUACAGCUACUUCAUGUUCUUACACUGUAAGCCUUGUUGCUUUGCCCCAACAAUUGUAAUUUGAUUAUAGCUAUGAGCCUUAUGGUAGACACUAUGUACCCUCUGCGGUGUAAUUGCAUUAUAGCUAUGUGCCUUGUGGUAAGCACUAUGUACUCUCUGCAUUGUCCAAAUGUCUUACUUUAAGGUGUUUCUUCUGUCUUUUCGACUAAGUAGUAUUGUCAAGAUAAUGGGGCCUGUGACUUGAAUGGAUAGAAUAGAAAUGAAUAAGCUGGUUUUUGUUUUUCCAAAUGAGAUUUAGAUUUGUUUUUCUCAUGCAUAAAUGAUUUUAAUUCAGUUUUAACCAGUGAAAACUCGUGGUUUUUCUGAAAGAAAAAAGAAAAGGGUUUCCUAUCUGGUAUUAUAUAUGUCAAAUAAAUGUAUAAAGUAACACCCAAAUGUUAUUAGAAACUAGUCUUUUAGUAUUUGUAAUUUUCAACUCUUAUUGUGUUACUUUGUGUGAAAAUUUUUAGUCAAAAGUGCUUGGAAUAAUGGAAUGGUUAGCAUUCUUUGAAAGAGUAUCUAAAAAGUUUAUAAAUAUUUGAACUAUCACACAAAGGUUGAUCUCUAAAAAAACAAAAAACCCCAUUAAAACAAUAAAGAAUUUAUUUUGCCUAAAA
Mus musculus (house mouse) is the source of this 6208-nucleotide RNA transcript. It is a transcript of the gene named ITPR interacting domain containing 2, with no coding region annotated. The transcript has 21 exons. Lineage: Eukaryota; Metazoa; Chordata; Mammalia; Rodentia; Muridae. The record is from RefSeq and is marked validated.